GCCCUGGUAGCUCAGACUGGGAGAGCGACCGCUUGGUAAGCGGUAGGUCCGGGGUUCAAAGCCCCGCCAGGGCU
Molecule: transfer RNA, 74 nt
Filed under: Candidatus Caldarchaeum subterraneum
Lineage: Archaea; Thermoproteati; Nitrososphaerota; Candidatus Caldarchaeales; Candidatus Caldarchaeaceae
Description: tRNA-Thr (GGT) (tRNA-Thr-GGT-1-1)
Rfam family: tRNA
About the family: Transfer RNA (tRNA) molecules are approximately 80 nucleotides in length.
Source: RNAcentral